UACAGAGGGUGCGAGCGUUAAUCGGAAUUACUGGGCGUAAAGGGCACGUAGGUUGUUUUUUAAGUCAGAUGUGAAAUCCCUGGGCUCAACCUAGGAAUUGCAUUUGAUACUGGAAGACUGGAGUACUGUAGAGGAAAGGGGAAUUCACGGUGUAGCGGUGAAAUGCGUAGAUAUCGUGAGGAACAUCGGUGGCGAAGGCGCCUUUCUGGACAGAUACUGACACUGAGGUGCGAAAGCGUGGGUAGCGAAC
This 250-nucleotide ribosomal RNA is filed under the name uncultured bacterium. Its description in RNAcentral is "partial 16S ribosomal RNA". It matches the Rfam family "Bacterial small subunit ribosomal RNA", at positions 524 to 773 of the family's 1533-position model. The record is from RNAcentral.